AGUCUGCAACCCGACUACAUGAAGCUGGAAUCGCUAGUAAUCGCGAAUCAGAAUGUCGCGGUGAAUACGUUCCCGGGUCUUGUACACACCGCCCGUCACACCAUGGGAGUCGGAAAUGCCCGAAGUCAGUGACCCAACCGUAAGGAGGGAGCUGCCGAAGGUGGAGCCGGUAACUGGGGUGAAGUCGUAACAAGGUAGC
Molecule: ribosomal RNA, 199 nt
Filed under: uncultured bacterium
Lineage: Bacteria
Description: partial 16S ribosomal RNA
Rfam family: Bacterial small subunit ribosomal RNA
Source: RNAcentral